This 73-nucleotide transfer RNA is filed under the name Mus musculus (house mouse). RNAcentral's name for it is "tRNA-Asn". The record is from RNAcentral. Lineage: Eukaryota; Metazoa; Chordata; Mammalia; Rodentia; Muridae.
GGAGAGAUGGCUCAGUGGUUAAGAGCACUGACUGUUCUUCCAGAGGUCCUGAGUUCAAUCCCCAGCAACCACA